UGUUCCCUUGAAACCUAUCAUUAGAGGAAGGAGAAGUCGUAACAAGGUUUCCGUAGGUGAACUGCGGAAGGAUCAUUGUCGAUGCCCAACGGAACAAGACAGACGGAAGCGAACUCGUGAACCCUCGGAGUUCUUGGCCCGCACGUCCGGGCGGCGGUCCGCACGCGUCGGGCCACGACGAACCAAAUCUCGGCGCAGGACGCGCCAAGCAACUCUGGAAGCUUCGAUCGCGGCGUCCUCUUCCCCGUCGGGCCGGAGGGCACGCGUCGAACACUUACAAGUCAGUACGACUCUCGGCAACGGAUAUCUCGGCUCUCGCAUCGAUGAAGAACGUAGCGAAAUGCGAUACUUGGUGUGAAUUGCAGAAUCCCGUGAACCAUCGAGUCUUUGAACGCAAGUUGCGCCCGAGGCCUUCCGGUCGAGGGCACAUCUGCUUUGGGCGUUAAACAACUCGUCUCCCCACCGCCUUCUCCCGGCAGGCUCCGAUCGAGGAGUCUGUCCGAGACGAGGGCAGGUCGGGCGGAGUCUGGUCGUCCGUGUGCCCGCAGAGCGCACGCGGUUGGCUGAAAAGCCCGGGCCACGGGCUGAGUGCGGCUCAACGGGUGGUGGUUGUGCGCCCUCGCAAGGCCGCGAUUGUCAGCGCGUUGCGCCGCUCGCUUCUCGGUUGCCCGGCAAGUACCCGACACCAUCGAAACGUCCAGUCGGCGGGAUCGAUUCGAAUUGCAACCCCAAGUCAGGUGGGACUACCCGCCGAGCUUAAGCAAU
Molecule: ribosomal RNA, 765 nt
Filed under: Piper sp. 1 HSW-2014
Lineage: Eukaryota; Viridiplantae; Streptophyta; Magnoliopsida; Piperales; Piperaceae
Description: eukaryotic LSU rRNA
Rfam family: 5.8S ribosomal RNA (bases 289-445)
Source: RNAcentral